Molecule: ribosomal RNA, 165 nt
Filed under: uncultured bacterium
Lineage: Bacteria
Description: partial 16S rRNA
Rfam family: Bacterial small subunit ribosomal RNA
Source: RNAcentral
UAGGGAAUCUUCCACAAUGGGCGCAAGCCUGAUGGAGCAACACCGCGUGAGUGAAGAAGGGUUUCGGCUCGUAAAGCUCUGUUGUUAAAGAAGAACGUGUGUGAGAGUGGAAAGUUCACACAGUGACGGUAACUUACCAGAAAGGGACGGCUAACUACGUGCCAG